AUUGAACGCUGGCGGCAGGCCUAACACAUGCAAGUCGAGCGGAUGAAGGGAGCUUGCUCCUGGAUUCAGCGGCGGACGGGUGAGUAAUGCCUAGGAAUCUGCCUGGUAGUGGGGGAUAACGUCCGGAAACGGGCGCUAAUACCGCAUACGUCCUGAGGGAGAAAGUGGGGGAUCUUCGGACCUCACGCUAUCAGAUGAGCCUAGGUCGGAUUAGCUAGUUGGUGGGGUAAAGGCCUACCAAGGCGACGAUCCGUCACUGGUCUGAGAGGAUGAUCAGUCACACUGGAACUGAGAAAAGGUCCAGACUCCUAAGGGAGGCAGCAGGGGGGAAUAUUGGACCAUGGGCGAAAGCCUGAUCCAGGCAUGACGCGUUUGUGAAGAAGGUCUUCGGAUUUGAAAACACUUUUAGUUGGGAGGAAAGGCAGUAAGUUAAUACCUUGCUGUUUUGACGGUACCAACAGAAUAAGCACCGGCUAACCUCGUG
This 484-nucleotide ribosomal RNA is filed under the name uncultured bacterium. RNAcentral's name for it is "partial 16S ribosomal RNA". It matches the Rfam family "Bacterial small subunit ribosomal RNA", at positions 30 to 507 of the family's 1533-position model. The record is from RNAcentral.